GUUGCACACAUGACAUGAAUGUAGCAAAAUAUGUUCUCAUGUGCACAGGAUGUUUCAUGUCUGAAUAAUGUUUGCUCAUAAUAUAAUUCUUAUAAUGAUAAUAAUUCCUCAUGGCAAAAAAAUGCAGAUACUUAAACUCCAUUUGAGGUAAGGACUUUCCGCCAAACUGGAGAUGGCCACUGUUUUCCAGUCAAGCAUUAUGGUUUUUGACUUAGAGGUGCUGUUUCUUUCCCUGCUAUGUCACACUCAGCAGCAAACCGUCCCACUGCAUGCUGAAGGUCCAUGUCCAGAGUACCCCCGGGGUCUUAAAAGCAUUGAAAAACUCUUAAAUUUCGUAAUCUCAAAUUAAGGCCUUAAAAAGCUUAUUGUAGGUUAAUUUUUUUUAUAUACAUGGAAAAGUGUGUUAAAAUAUCAUGUAAUACCAUAACAUAACAUAUUGAAAUGUUUUUGAAAGCGCAAGGGUACAAAAUGUAAGGAAAAGUGUCUGUUUCUGACCCUCUUCUGGGAAAACUACAAUCACGUACAUGACGUCAGAACAGGGACUUAUAAGCUGCGCUCUGCCUGAGAACUGUGCAGAGUAGGUUGGUAGUUAGCAGGAUCGGUUUUACGUAAGUGUGUUUUUGGUAGCGAGUAGUGUAAGUGAUCAUCAUCAUGGUAAAUUAUUGUGUUUGUGGAGGCUGCACAAACUCUGGCACGUCAGGACAUCGAAUCCACAAGUUUCCUGACAGGAAAAAGGAUGGAGCCCUCUUUUGUGCUUGGAUGCACUUUGUGCAGGUAAAGAGGCGCGAUUUCACUUCAGCAUCUGUUUCGAAAAACUCGGUGGUGUGUGGUGCUCAUUUUCAAAAGGAAGAUUAUUGUCCUGGUGAUCUGAUGCAGUUUGAAAUGGAAUGCCGAAACAAGAAUCGCGUCAGACUCCAAGCUGGCGCGGUUCCUUCGGUGCACACUGUGCCUUCGUCAGGCCCGCCUUCCACCUGUCGUUCUCCCACUGGCGGGAAACAUGCUCUUCACGGAUCAGUCAGAGAUGGAGCUUGACGAAAACGUGAAUUGUGCACGAUUUUGGAGGAUGCUCAUGCUGCAAGAAAUGAAGGGAUAGAUGCAUCUGCAGCCAGUUAUGCUGUGCUAGCUGACGUGGAGCACGAGGUUUUCUCUCCACUGUCUACUCGUUCCUCUGUGCUUCACUUUGGCUCACAGUGUAACCUUAGACCUUCACUUCAUUCAUCAGGUAUAUUACCAUUGUUCCCUUGUCUAAGUAAUUAUGCAUGGCACUUACCUAUUUGUUUACAUAAAAUACAAGGAAAAAAUAAGUGACAAAUUAUUACUCAAAUAUUUGUGUGUGAUGCUGAAAUGUUUAACCUCCAUUUAAAAAAAUUAUUUGAAUUUGUUUAUUUAGACCUUGUCACAGUUGUUUAAUUAUGCAGUAAUUUUACAGCAAUCAGUACUUCAGACAGUUGUUUGAUUUUGCACUUGGCAAUGAAUAUGCUGUUUCACAAUUAUGUAAAGCUGGACAUUGUGUUUGUUCUAGCUGUUGUGAUGUUUGAUGGGUCAGGUGACAUUAAUCAUGUGAGACACAAAAGAUCACUGAUGUAUUCUGAUAUUCCUAUGCGUAAAAGCACAACUCUUAGUGAUGAAGUGAAACGUAAGAGACAGAACAGGCGGCUCCGGCAGAGGGCGCGCCGAAUCAACAAACCAGCUAGACGAACUCUCUGUGAACCCUUAGGUACUUCAAGUUACCCCCUCCCUUGUACUUUAGAUGAACCCCCUCCUCGUACUUCUACCGAGCUCUCUACCCAGCUCCUUGCCGAGCUCGAACACCUAAAUCUGGGGCAUAACUGAGGGAAGUGAGGCUGAUAUUAAAAAGGCCCAUGUAUUGAUUUCUAUGUACUCAUAUAUCUGUCUUCCUAUUGUUCAAGUGAUUUAGCAUGCUCCUUGAAUGUAUGAGUUAAGUAGUUUUUGCAUGAUUUAUGAACACUAUUAUAUGAGACACUGAGUAUAAAAGCUGACUUGUACUCUUCAGCUUUGCGCUUCCCGACUUCUGUUCAUUGAGGUUGGUUGCCCUUUGUCUCUAACGGGAGGCAAAGUAAGGAUUUCUUGUUUUCUGUUUGUCUUUUGUUUGUUCUACUUUUUCACUGGAUUUUAUUUUAUUAAUAAAAGUGUAUUUUAUUAAUUUUCUUCACUGGAGUGGACAUUGACUUCAUUUUCCAGAACCCAUCUAAGUUACCCUGUGUGGUAAAGUAUGCUCUAAUUUAUUCUUUUGCAAAAUACGUUCUUUAAAGACGAUCCUUUAACUAAACUCUUGCUAAGAAAUAUAGCUAAGGGAGGAUCCUGAUCUUAACUUUGUUUAAUUAGGGUGAUUAAAUAAAGGGAAAUCAGCACACUGUCCAAGCAAAGCCCAAAAUGUUCAGUGUGGGGACUCAGACAGAAAUGUGUACGCAACAAACAUCAACCCCACUGGCCAGCCCUGUACACAGCGAUGAGGAAUCUGUUGUGAUGGAAGAACCUUAUGAUGUUUCAUGGAUGCCAGAGGAGGAAAUGACAAUUGACACAUCUACUGAGGAACCAGUGCCAGAAUCUCAUCCUGACUCAAAUGCUCCUGACAAGUUUAUUGUGUGCCUGAGCCAGCUGAUGUAUUUAUUUGCAAUAUGCCCAGCAUGUUGUGAGGACACACAUUGUGAAGCAGGAGGGAACUUUUGUAAAAAUUC
Non-coding RNA from Danio rerio (zebrafish), 2699 nucleotides. NCBI's taxonomy places the organism in Eukaryota, Metazoa, Chordata, Actinopteri, Cypriniformes, Danionidae. The record is from RefSeq and is a predicted model, not a curated record.